GCAUUGGUGGUUCAGUGGUAGAAUUCUCGCCUGCCACGCCAGGCCUGGGUUCGAUUCCCGGCCAAUGCA
RNAcentral lists this transfer RNA (69 nucleotides) under Oreochromis niloticus (Nile tilapia). It matches the Rfam family "tRNA". From Rfam's summary of the family: Transfer RNA (tRNA) molecules are approximately 80 nucleotides in length. The record is from Rfam by way of RNAcentral. Lineage: Eukaryota; Metazoa; Chordata; Actinopteri; Cichliformes; Cichlidae.